AAUGAUGAAUGGCCCUCAAUUGAGCCUCCUCAAGCUGUUGGUAUCUCUAGUACCGUGGAAUCACCUGCAGUCUUGGAGUUGCAUUCAAGUCCAGCUAACUUAUCAUUGGAUAGUCCUAAUCAGCAUAUACAUCAAGACAAGGUUCAGGUUGUUGAAAGUGGUUCCGUCGACAAUAUUGAUGUAAACCAUGCUGCACAUGCUUCUAU
Molecule: unclassified non-coding RNA, 206 nt
Filed under: Hevea brasiliensis (rubber tree)
Lineage: Eukaryota; Viridiplantae; Streptophyta; Magnoliopsida; Malpighiales; Euphorbiaceae
Source: RNAcentral